GAUGAAGAACGCAGCGAAAUGCGAUAAGUAAUGUGAAUUGCAGAAUUCAGUGAAUCAUCGAAUCUUUGAACGCACAUUGCGCCCGCCAGUAUUCUGGCGGGCAUGCCUGUUCGAGCGUCAUUUCAACCAUCAAGCCCCCGGCUUGUGUUGGGGACCUGCGGCUGCCGCAGGCCCUGAAAACCAGUGGCGGGCUCGCUAGUCACUCCGAGCGUAGCAAUACAUCUCGCUCAGGGCGUGCUGCGGGUUCCGGCCGUUAAAAAGCCUUAUUUACCCAAGGUUGACCUCGGAUCAGGUAGGAAGACCCGCUGAACUUAAGCAUAUCAAUAAGCGGAGGA
RNAcentral lists this unclassified non-coding RNA (335 nucleotides) under soil metagenome. RNAcentral describes it as "partial contains 5.8S ribosomal RNA, internal transcribed spacer 2, and large subunit ribosomal RNA". The stretch from base 1 to 120 matches the Rfam family "5.8S ribosomal RNA", at positions 35 to 154 of the family's 154-position model. The record is from RNAcentral.